UCUUUAUAUUUUGACAUGACAGUAGAAAUUAUGAUUUUAAUAAUGACGAUUAAUGUCUGCAUGCGAUAGUAUAAGCAUUAACUUUGAAGGAGUUGCGUAACAAUCACAUAUUCAUCAGUGUGGGAUAAUUGCAUAACAAUCACAUUCACGUUAUUUUUGCUCAUAUGGAAGAAUAAACCAACUAUUACUGAAACAAGUAAUAAGAUAACAUAGUACAUAAUUACAAAGUAGUGAUAGAAGGUGAGUAUUAAAAUAACUAAACACAUCUAAGAGCAGUGCUUGUUGACUAAAUGGACAAACUGGUCAGUAAACAUCUCAAGAGUAGAUUGUGGAGGAAUUUUUCCUGUGUAUGUAAGCGUGACGGCGUUCGAAGCAGUAGCGUUGCCUGUAUUUGGAGAAACCGCAAGAAAAAGUAUGUUGCUGUAAUCGGCGGAUAGCUCUGCGAUCUUAGCGAUGAAGUUGCAAUGUUGAUUUUCUAUCUUUUUCAAGCGUUUCAUAUGAGCGACACAUGUGUCCUCAAAAAUCCAUGCCCAAGACAUAGUUGAUUCCUUCUCUUUCUGAGUCUUCAAUAGAUUGGCAUGGUUGUGAUCAACUAAAGUUAAUUUUCCUUCGCUUGCGAUAUUGUGAAUGGCAUCGUCGUAGCCUGAUUCUAUUGCUCCGCCUACGGUAUCUAUGAAAUCGCUGUAGUAGGUUGUUUUCUUAUUACGCGGAGGAGGUGUUCGCUGCGUUGGCAUAAUAGUAAUGGAGGUAGUAAAGAUAGAAUGAUUCAUUUCUCUCACAGCUGUUCUAGAUACAUAAAAGCCUAGGUCUUGCGCAAUUUGAUUGAAAAAUAGCUUCUUUGGUAUCUAAACAGACGACAUAGUUCUGCAACAUUUAAAAUAGUUCCUCAGCUUUCAUGUUGGAGUAGUAGAGAUUUGAUGCGUUGUACAAAAGAAAAAAAUGAUUUAAACAAUGGAAAGUUCAUACUUGCGGUUUUAGUUGCAAUAUCACCUUUGUGUUUACUUCGUUGUGAAAGUGAUUACCAUAUGGAAAGAUCGUAGCUUGAAGAGAUAGAAGUACUUGCAUCUUGGAUAGCUAUUUAUAUAAGAUAUUCCUAGUUACAAACACCUAUAGGCAAAGGUGGACACAUAUGAAAUUCGUGGCAGCUAAUCUUCUUGUCGUGCAUUCAUUGUGUCAUGCAAGUGUUGCGCAUGAAAGUUGUGUUUAUCCAUGUGUCUAUGUCUUGUAUAUGUGCGAUAUCCUCCAAUCGACAACGUGGUUCCACGUAUUGGGCUGGGAUCGGCCCAUUCAUUCCGAAAAGCCCAGUAGUUGGUGUAGCAAAGAAACACGAGGUCACCAGUAGCUUCCACUACGAGCGCGUGACUUCCAGCGUCUUCUUUCAUUUGCUUGGGUAUUCACUCCAUGCGAAAUCUAGCAUUGAUGGCACUUAACAUCUUCAAAACCUAUGUCAAGAAAUGGAGCGUCGAUCUGAACAGCACGCGAAGGGCAGGCGCGCAUCGAUAGUCAAUAAGAGAGAGGAAGUUGGUUGGUAUGCAGUGAAUAGUUAAAAGUUAUCUAAUGAUGCUUGUUGAAUUUGAUUCGACUAACUGAUCCAUGUUUCUUUUCGAACAAAUCGGAGUAAGGAGGACAGGAAGGAAAGGUACGUGGGUCUCUUUCGAUUCUCGCAGUAAAGUGAAACAUUCGCUGGAACUGUGGUAGGAUUAUCGCUGGAACCUAAGUAAUUCAUAGGUUAGUUCAUCAGUAUUUAGUCUCUGCAUACAAAGAUAGGAAUAGAUCUAUAUAGUUUUGCUUACUCUAUAGAAAUGGACAUGAAUAUUCACUACAAAGAAAUGGAAAAGCAGUUGACUAAGUAGGAAACACUACUUGAACUCAAAGGGUCAUAGAUAUAUAAAGUUCUCCCAUAGAUUAGGUGUAUAAAUAAUUGGGGAUUGUAAAUCAUGACCACACUUUUUGUGAAACUUAACAUGGUUAUAGUACGUUGAUGUUGUCAAUAUGUUGUUGAUGUCAAAUAACUAUGUAUUCGCUGUUAUGUUACUAAAUUAAAUUGAAGACAUAAUAUGAAUUGUGUCAAUAGCAUUGUAGUGUGCAACAUAGCCGUGGUAACGUAUAGAUCAGACGGUUAUGUACGCAGUAUUAGUGUUUGUGCCCGAUAUUUUAUAUGACUAUAUUUGUUGAUUACAACUUUAGCUUGUCCAUGCUCAUAUUGAUUAUAUUACGACUAUAAUUCACCUUUUUUAUAUUGACCUGUGUAGAAUGACAACAGAAGAAUUAUGCCCUAUGAGUGAUAUUGGAAAGACAUUCUAGUGGUACGAUGAUUGGUAUGGAAAGAUCAGUACCAAUGUUACUGGGAAGGUACAAUACUAUUGACUAAU
Molecule: long non-coding RNA, 2372 nt
Filed under: Setaria italica (foxtail millet)
Lineage: Eukaryota; Viridiplantae; Streptophyta; Magnoliopsida; Poales; Poaceae
Description: long non-coding RNA (SITA_LNC006776)
Source: RNAcentral